AAGGACUUCUCAGGCGUGGAAGGGGCCGUGUGUGCAAAGGCGGGAGGUCAGAGGACGCUGCAUCUGACCGCACGGCCACCUCUGCUUUGGCAGGACACCCAGGGCUGGCCCGACCCACCCCUGAAAGCAGCUGCCAGGAAAACAGGUGUGCAAAGGACCAGAAAUCAACAUUCUUCUGACAUAUAACUGGAAAGUCAAGUACAACUUUAUUCAACAGAUAUAUGUAAAUAAAUAAGUAGAACAAAGCAGCAGACAAGCCCUAGGGCCACCUGUCUGCAAGAUGCAGUCUUAGGAUCGCAGGCGUCUCCACCAAACCUUCUGGGGAAAGAGAAAAGCUCAUGCAGGGGUGGCAGAAGGAAAUGCGCACCCGAGUGGAUCGGAAGCUGAGGACGCUCCUCCCAGGCACUUACACGCCUGCAGGUAGGUGGAUGCACAACCCCCAGAUGGCAGAGACUCAGCAUGCACGCUGGGAAAUCCUCAGGGAAGCCGGUUCACCGAUGUCCCAGGGGAAACCACAGCCAAUUUGGACCGCUGCCUAUAAAUCUGAUAUCUCUCUUCCUUUGGCAUCCCUCCCCUGCAUUUCAAUAAUCUUCCUCACACAGUAGUUUUAAAACAUUUUUUUCUGUAUUUCCAAGUUGUCUGUUACGAAAAUGUGCUACUUUCGUAAUUAGAGACUAAAUGUCGUUUUUAAAAUAUUUUUUAUGGUGGUAAAAUAUAUGUUUAUGUUGUGUGACAUAAAAGUUACCACUUGAUUUUUAAGUGUAUGAUUCAGUGGCAUUAAGAAUAUUCACGAUGUUGUGUAACCGUCAUCAUUGUCUAUUUCCAGAACUUGUUUUUCAUCUUCCCAAACAGAGACUCCGUGUCCAUUGAACAAGAACUCCCCAUUCCUCCCUCCCCACUUGUGACCUUUAUUCUACUUUCUGUCUCUAUGAAUUGGCCCAUUCUAGGGACCUCACACAAGUGGAAUCAUACGACGUUUGUCCUUUUGUGUCUGGCUUAUUUCACUUAGCAUCAUGUUUGCAAAGUGCAUCCACGUUGUGGUGUGUGUCAGAAGUUCAUUAUUAUGGUUGAAUAAUAUUCCACUGUAUGGAUAUACCAUAUUUUGUUUAUCCCUCCCUCUGUCCAUGCGGGCUUGGGUUGCUUCCGUCAUUCGGUUAUUGUGUAACGCUGAACCUUGGUGUGUAGUAUCUGCUGAGUCCUGCUUUCAGUUCUUUGGGGUAUAUGCCUAGGGGUGGAAUUGCUGGAUCAUCUGGUAAUUUCAUGUUUAACUUUUUGAGGAACGGCCAAACUGUUUUUCACAGCAACUGCAUGACUAAAUGUCAUUUAGAAAAGAAAACAUUCAUCUUCAUAUCGUUAAGCUGUCAAUACUAUUCAAAGUGGUCUACAGAUUCAGUGCAAUCCCUGUAAGAAUCCCAAUAACUUUUUUUGUAGAAAUAGAAAAAUCCAUCCUAAGAUUCAUAUAGAAUUUCAAGGGACCCUGAAUAGAGCAAAGUCGCUCUCACGGUUCCUGAUUUCAAAACUUACUGCAAAGCCACAGCCAUCUCCAAGGCGGACAUAUGGACCAAUGGAGCAGAAUAGAGAGCCCAGGAAUAAAACCUUGCAUAUAUGGGCAAAUGAUUUUCAACAAGAGUGCCAAGAGCAUUCAGUGGGGAAAGGACAGUCUUUUUAACAAAUGGCGCUGGGAAAACUGGAUAUCCACAUGCAAAAGAAUGAAAUUGGACCCUUAUCUAACACAAUAUAUAAAAAUCACCUCAAAAUGGACCUAAACAUAAGAGUUAAAAUUAUGAAACGAUUAGAAGAAAACAUUGGGGGGAAAACUUCAUUAUAUUGAAUUUGGCAAUCAUUUCUUGCAUAUGAUGCCAAAAGCACUGGCAACAAAAGAAAAAAAUAAAUUGGACUUCGUCAAAAUUAAAAACUUUCGUUUCAAAGAAUACUAUCAAUGGAGUGAAAAGGCAACUCAUGGAAUGGGAGAAAAUAUUAGCAAAUCGUACAUCUAAUAAGAGAUUAAUACCCAGAAUAUUUAAAGAACCCCUCCAACGCAACAGCAACAAAAAACAAACAACCUGAUUAAAAAAUGGGCAAAGGACUUGAAUCGGCAUUGGUUGGGCUGAUCUUUGGCUCUGAGCAUUCUGGCUUUUCCCCGUGACUGAUGCUUCUCUGAGGCGGAGGUGGCUGGCAGGAAAGGAUGCCCGACUUUCCCAACAGGCUGAGUGUACCUUGCUUCCUGGCGGUGGGCUGGAGGCUUUGAAAGAAACGUGAGAACCCAGAGACAGCUGGGUGGGCUCCUCCCAUCCGCCUUCCCACGGCCGGCCGGGCCCAGCUUCAGCUUCAGGCUCCCCUCGGGGCUCCCGUGUCUCCCACCCCCAGCUGCAGGAAUGGCUGAGUCACCCAGGCCCGGGCUGCCAGCCCUGGAAUCUGAGCAGGCCUCUGCUGUCCCCAGCUUGGUGCACCGACUCCCUGGGAAGUCACCAGACAUAUUGGACUAGGGCCCACCCAUACGACCUCAUCUUAACUUAGUCACUUCUUUAAAGACCCCAUCUUUGAAUACAGUCACGUCCUGAGGUUACGGGGGUUCGGGCUUCAACAUAUGGAUUUGAGGAGACACACUUCAGCCCAUAGCACUGCCCCUAAUCUGACACUUGAAUCCCACUACGAUGCCUCUGGCAAGGGCCGCCCAGCCUCGGCUUGCACACCUCCGGUGGCAGAGAGCUCUGUACCUCCCAAGAUGAUAAAAGUGACUUCUAGCGGGUGGCUAGUGUCCCACGUGGAGGCUGGAUCCUUUUGGCCCCCAAGAAAUGGAGAAGGCCAUUUCACAGUCUUGAACUUUUCAAAACAGGUUGGUUUCUCCCUAAACGGCAAGAGAGCUUGCUUGUCCUGGGAGACAAAUUCAAAGGCAGACUCCGCUGGUGGAGUCGUCUGUAUGUUGUUAUCGGCCUCGAGCAGCGGUGGCUUCGGACCACCCCAGCAACGUCGACGCCUUGUUUGCCCAGAUAAAUGUCACGUCUGCUCCCAAAGGAGCCUAUAAAAAAGCCACUUUGGGAGUAGGGGAUGGUUUUAGGGGUGGCCACUUCGAAACUGGAAAUUAUUUUCUUCCCCACCCAAAAGAGUUGGAUUGUUCUUGUGUGACCCCAGCCAGAUGGCGAGAGGGUGUCACUAGGGACAUGCAGAUAAAGUCUUACACGAUUCAGUUUGGCUUUAAAAUCCAUUCUCAGAGCUCAGCAAAUGAAGCCUUUUUUUUUUUUUUUACCCUGACGUCAUUCUAUUUUUCCUUAAAAUUUUUUUCACAUUACAAACAUAAUACGUGUUUCUUGUAGACAGUAUGGAAAAUAUGGUACGACAUAAAGAAGAAAACAAUGAUCUUUACUUCUGUCACCAGAAACAGUCUCUGUUAACACUUUGAUGCAUUUCUUGCAUUUCUCUCUCUCAAUGGGGCUAUACCUUAAAAAAAAAAAAGGUUGCCUGGUAUGUCUCACACCCACGAGAUCUGACUGAUGGAGCUGUACACGAGACAGACAAGGCCCACCCUCUUGGAGCUCACUGUCUACAUGGGAGACAGAAAAUCAAAUAUAAAUGAGCUUUCGGGUUGUUUCCAGUUUUCCUGUUACAAACAAGAGUGCAGUGGGCAUUGUGAGAGCCAAGUGUCUGAAAACACACAUAUUGAUUGCAUCAGGAUAACUUUCUAUCAUUGGAAUUUAUGAGACAGGGAUUUUCGUGUUAUUAAAAAAACUGCGAUGGUCAUCUUUAUGCAUACUUGUGUUAAUAUUGUGUUGAUAUUAUCUGAUAAAUACUUUCUCUGCCUGCAUUAGACAAUUCUCAAUUACAGGCCCAGAGAUUCUCUGCAACAGAAGGGAUUCUGCAGCCUUCCUGUCUAGGCUAACCCCUCAUCCCACUCCAGUAUCCAGCUUACAUGCCCCCAGGGACAGAGAGCUCAUUUCUCCCUCAGGGGGUUCAUUCCACCCCUGCAUGCCUCUGCCCUGGGAAACGUUCCCCUAUACUGAAAAGAAAUUGGUCCUCCUGGGCUUCCACCACUCACCCUGGUUCUUGAGACCAUGCAGAGCAAAUCCAGGCCCCACCUCAUCUUUGCAAAGACCCUGCUGAGCUUGUGGCCAGCUCCACGUCCCCUCAGAGGUCCGUCCUGCACGUGCACAGCUCCCAUGGCUCCCGCUCCCUGCUGAUGGCAGUUCCUUUCUUGGGACACCACCCAGGGAUUACUUCACCUCCCCCGGGGUGCCUUCCCUGACCAGCCCUCCCCCAGGAGCCCCUGCGCCCCCUCCAUGGAAGCACCUGUCGCUUUUAUUGCCUCUCUCCUUCGCAGGGCGGCUUCAGCUCCAUCUCUGCAUCCAGUGGGCGCCGGAUAAAAACCUGUUGAACAAACAAAUGGAGGGUGAGAUUCCAGUGCCUGUAUCUUGG
RNAcentral lists this long non-coding RNA (4410 nucleotides) under Equus caballus (horse). Its description in RNAcentral is "lncRNA (ENSECAG00000057657.1)". Lineage: Eukaryota; Metazoa; Chordata; Mammalia; Perissodactyla; Equidae. The record is from RNAcentral.